Molecule: ribosomal RNA, 1345 nt
Filed under: metagenome
Description: bacterial SSU rRNA
Rfam family: Bacterial small subunit ribosomal RNA
Source: RNAcentral
ACGCUGGCGGCGUGCCUAAUGCAUGCAAGUCGAACGGGAUCAUCCAAUCAUACGAGCCUUCGGGUGAGUAUGGGAUGAGGACCGUGGCGGACGGGUGAGGAACGCGUGGCCGACCUGCCCUGAUCACGGGGACAACCGCGGGAAACUGCGGCUAACACCCGAUACCUUCAUGAGGGGGGACCUUCAUGAAGAAAACAUUACGGAUUGGAUCAGGAGGGGGCUGCGCCCGAUUAGCUAGCUGGUGGGGUAACGGCCUACCAGGGCGACGAUCGGUCGCUGGUCUGAGAGGAUGAUCAGCCACACGGGGACUGAGACACGGCCCCGACUCCUACGGGAGGCAGCAGCAAGGAAUUUUCCCCAAUGGGCGCAAGCCUGAGGGAGCAACGCCGCGUGGGGGAUGAAGCAUUUCGGUGUGUAAACCCCUUUUCCGAGGGACGAAACGAAUGACGGUACCUCGGGAAGAAGGCCCGGCUAACUACGUGCCAUCAGCCGCGGUAAUACGUAGGGGCCAAGCGUUGUCCGGAGUUACUGGGCGUAAAGGGUGCGCAGGCGGUUGGUUACGUCGUGUGUGAAAGCCCCCGGCUUAACCGGGGAGGGUCGCGCGAAACGGGCUAACUGGAGGCAAGGCGAGGUCGGUGGAAUUCCCGGUGUAGUGGUGAAAUGCGUAGAGAUCGGGAGGAACACCAGAGGCGAAGGCGGCCGACUGGACUUGACCUGACGCUGAGGCACGAAGGCGUGGGGAGCGAACGGGAUUAGAUACCCCGGUAGUCCACGCAGUAAACGAUGGAUACUAGGUGUGGCGGGAGUUGACCCCGGCCGUGCCGGAGCUAACGCAGUAAGUAUCCCGCCUGGGGAGGGGCCGCAAGGCUAAAACUCAAAGGAAUUGACGGGGCCCCGCACAAGCAGCGGAGCGUGUGGUUUAAUUCGACAACGCGCAGAACCUUACCAGGACUUGACAUCCCGGGAACCUUGGUGAAAGCCAGGGGUGCUCUUCGGAGAGCCCGGAGACAGGUGUUGCAUGGCUGUCGUCAGCUCGUGUCGUGAGAUGUUGGGUUAAGUCCCGCAACGAGCGCAACCCCUGUGGCUAGUUAUGUGGAUGUCUAGCCAGACUGCCGCAAUGCGGAGGAAGGCGGGGAUGACGUCAAGUCAGCAUGACCCUUAUGUCCUGGGCAACACACACGCUACAAUGGCCGGUACAGAGGGCAGCCAAGUCGCAAGACGGAGCCAAUCCCAGAAAGCCGGUCUCAGUCCGGAUUGGGGGCUGCAACUCGCCCCCAUGAAGGUGGAGUUGCUAGUAACCGCAGGUCAGCAUACUGCGGUGAAUACGUUCCCGGGGCUUGUACAC